Molecule: unclassified non-coding RNA, 4300 nt
Filed under: Amphibalanus amphitrite
Lineage: Eukaryota; Metazoa; Arthropoda; Thecostraca; Balanomorpha; Balanidae
Description: b(0,+)-type amino acid transporter 1-like, transcript variant X3
Source: RNAcentral
CCGCCCAGCGCUGGCAGAGUGACCGGGGGUGUUGGGUGCCGUCAGAGAGGCAGGACGCCAUAGUGUAUCACCGGCGCCGCCACCGAUUCAUGAUAGAGCGCCUCACGGCGAAGAAAUGCAAAAGAAGCAUGGUCAGUCAGCUGGGCAUCUCAAUGGAAGUGUACAGACGAACGGUGGCUCCGGCCAGCUGUCUGACUUAUCCGAAGGAGAAGCUGGUGACGUGCUGGCGCCACCCGCACCAGAUGAGGGCAACGCUACGCACCUCGAGAGAAGGGUGGGACUCUUCUCUGGGGUUGCUCUAAUUGUCGGCACCAUGAUCGGAUCUGGGAUCUUUGUGUCCCCCAAGGGUGUGCUGGAGCGCACCGGAUCCGUCGGAAUGUGUCUUGUCGUGUGGAUGGGAUGUGGUGUCCUCUCCACAUUGGGCGCGCUGGCGUACGCCGAGCUGGGCACGGUGAUCCCGUCCUCUGGCGCCGAGUAUGUGUACCUGCUGGUGGGCCUGGGCAACCUGCCGGCCUUCGUCUUCUCUUGGGUGUGCUCGUUCGUGCUGAAGCCGAGCAUGCUGGCCAUCAUCUGCCUCUCGUUCGCCGAGUACCUGGUGGAGGCGUUUGUGGAGGAGUGCGAGCCUCCCGCCCAGGUGGUCACCCUGGUCGGAGUACUCACUAUCGGUGGCAUCACGUUCAUCAACUGCUUCAGCGUCACGCUGGCGACCAAGGUGCAGAACGUCUUCACUGCCGCCAAGCUGAUCGCCAUCGCCAUCAUCGUCGUCGGCGGCAUGUACUCUCUGGCCGAGGGCAACACGCAGUACCUGCGCCAGGGUUUCGAGCACACCACUAGUUCGGUGAGCGAUGUGGCCACGGCCUUCUACAGCGGUCUGUGGGCCUACGACGGCUGGAACAACCUCAACUACGUCACAGAGGAGAUCAAAAAUCCGUCCAGGAACCUGCCUCUGGCCAUCAUCAUCGGCCUGCCGUUGGUAACCGCCUGCUACCUGCUGGUCAACAUCUCCUACCUGGCCGUCAUGUCGCCCAUCGAGCUCCUCCAGUCAGAUGCCGUCGCCGUGACGUUCGGUAAUCGCAUCCUCGGUGUAAUGGCUUGGCUGAUGCCUCUGGCAGUCACCAUGUCCACUUUCGGCGCCGCCAACGGAACCUGCUUCACAUCGGGAAGGCUGUGCUACGCCGCCGCUCGUCAGGGCCAUCUGGUGGACAUCCUCAGCUACGUCCACGUCCGCCGCCUCACCCCGUCCCCCGCACUCAUCUUCAACGCCAUCAUCGCCAUUGCCAUGAUCGUGGCCGGCGACAUCGGCAGCCUGAUCGACUUCUUCAGCUUCACCGUGUGGAUCUUCUACGGCAUGGCCAUGGCGGCGCUGAUCGUCAUGCGUCGCACCAAGCCGGACGCGCCGCGCCCCUAUAAGGUGGCAUGGCCGACUGGCUGUCCACAGAUUCGACAGUGUGCCGGCGUCCACCGUCUGAGCGCGCAUGCGCAGAGCGGGCGCACCCGGUUCCGAUCGUGAUCCCCUGGCUGGUGCUGUUCAUGUCCAUCUACCUGGUGGUGGGACCGAUCAUCGACGCGCCGCAGAUCGAGUACCUGUACGCGCUGGGCUUUGUGCUGGCCGGACCGCUCGUCUACAUACCAUUUGUCCAUUACAAGUGGACGCCGGCGUUUGUUGGGAAGACGACCCUUUUCUUCCAAAAGCUGCUGGAGGUCGUCCCGACAUCUUACGACGACUAGUCGGUACCACCAAAGUCGUCUGGAAAGACUGACAGUCGCUCAAAGUGACCCAGACCUCGUUGUCAGCGGCGACAACCGGCCUAACCAGACGGCAAGCGUAGAAACAGCGACCCAGCCUGUUUUACCAUCACGAUACAGAAGAAUGAACACGGCGAUCGAGAGUUAAGCGAUGGCAGAAGAUCAGAACAGCUAGAUGGCACUGGUGUACGAAAGUAGGAACGGGCAAGCUGCAAUCUCAAUCGUGUGAACGUCUUUCAUUGCUGCGUAUUCUUCUUUUGUACGUGCACGCAAGGUGACUAGUUUCUUUUGAAUUAAGUGUGCUGGUGUGAAGUCGGUUUGUUUUUCCUUUGCUUCCUUGUCUCGCACUUUGAUCCUUUAUUUUCUUGCCAGAGGUUGAUGCUGGUCAGAGCGUGAGGAGUCAAUGCUAAGAGGUUCAGUUGUGCCAAUAAUUGGCACAAAUCGUGCGAUAAAGCAUACCAAUUAAAGAUCAUUUGUUGCUUUUACCUUCUUAACCAGCUUUGAGCUUACCAAUUCAUUUAUGGUAAGUUCGCAUAAAGAUCAUCAUCAUACUCUACUUUUACUGAUGCCUUUUAUGAUAACCAAAGGUUUGUGUUCAGUUCUUAAAGACGCUAUGGUGUUUUUUUAUUGAAAGUAAACUUGAGUUACCGGAAAAUUUUGCUUAAGUUUGGUAAUGCCAUAGCCACAAAAAAGUCAAAAUUCCUUAUGAGCGACAGUGGCUCGACUCACCCGAAUGCGUAAAAAUAACAAGUAUGUUGUUCUGGGCCCCACCUAUUACAAAGUUAGCAGCCAGAUUUGCCUAGGAAGAGAAGACGGCUCUCUCACUACUGAAGAUCAAAUCAUUCCGAGAGGCAAGCCGUCAGAAACCAUCAGAACGUAGCCUUCGAGUGGGCUACUGUGAGCUCUGGAUAUCCUAAUCGGUAGCACCCCACGUUAUCCUUGCUUAUAGCCACUGUGGACAGCAGUGAGCUAUCCUAUGAUACCAAAAUCGCGAUUUACUGACCUGUUUUAUGCUUCUGAAUCGACGAUUUUACAGAAGAUAUAAAUUGUUUUUUUUUUUAAAUAUUGUGCGUGACAAAGCCUCUUGUUUCAUCCCUAGAGCGAAAAAUAGUAUUAAAAAAUUGUAUCCGCAUGCUGAUGCCAAAACCACCGCACGAUUGUCGAUUCAAUCUUAUAAAACUGACCCGGCGGCAGCGGUAUAUGACCACUCCUCUCCCGUGUGACUGAGGGCACCCAGUGUGGCCGGCACGGCGGACAGAGGAACCAGGAGUGGGGUCCACCCGGACCCGCGGGGGACUCUGCGGACCCAGGUGGGACCCGCUCGAAUGAUUCUGACCGCCGUUUGGCAACGCCGGGCUCCCCCGGCCAGCACGGAUUGGGAAAGGACGUACCUUGCCGCCGGUCACCCCUCGUAGCAGCACUUUGUUAUAUUUUGUAUUGUUGCUCGAGUAUUUUUGUACUCGGAGGAUGGCAGUGGGCUAGCGGCGGCAGGUCGCGGGGAGUGCAGAAGAGGCGGCAAAGCUCGAUGUUGUGCUCGUGGGCCGUGCUAGUAGUGACUGCUGCGCCUUAAUGGCUAGAUGUCUUCGCAACGAUGGCAGUAGCAAUCGGAUGUCUCUGCUACUCUGUGCUAUUCGCGUUACAUUGUCAAUGUAUAGGAAUACAGGGUGCUGAGCAAGGCUGGCUGCGCUCCAGAGCCGAUAUAUCGUACUAGUGUGACUUUAUAUAUCUUCUGUUGUUCUGUUGUCUAUUAUCUACUUUACAUGGCUCCAAAAAGGAUCAUUCCCGAGCCUGAAACUGAUGAUAUCGUUAGAGACUUGCCUCCUUUCUAGACGAGCAAAGGUUAGAUCAGUUUGCACCGCUGCCCCUUUCCCCGGUAGUUAGUUUUGUGUGUGCGAUCAGCGGUAAACGGGACUGCUGCGGUCGAACAGUCGUAUACCCUUGCGACCAGUUCGGUCCCACUGGCCGCGACCGACCGAGAGUGAUGGCGCCGCGUCGCGCUGAGCCGUGCUGCGCUCCACUGUAGAUGCGAUAUUUAGCCGUAGUAAGGUGAGACGAUCCCUGGGUUGUGUGGGCUCAGAGACCGUAUGAGAGUGUGGAAGAGGAAGGUUUGUGUGUGUCGGCUGCUGAUCAUGUCGACUCGCUGAAUGACUGAUGAUGUGACGCUGUGGAAGGGCAAGCGUUGAUGUGAGAGGAGACUGAAGGCGUAUAUGUAAAACCAAACAUUUAUCCCACCGAUUCCGCACGUAAAACUAAUAUCAGCGACACCUACUGCUAAAAAACGCGACCGUCGCGCAGCAGGACGUGACAUGUGCCGAAGUGGCACCUGCCAAAGGCACCAGCGUUAUAUCUGAUGUUCGUUACACCACAGAGGAAAUGGAUGUGAGGUAAUUGACGAGGAGAGCUGUGCAGCGAUGUUUUGCGAUGAUGACUGGUUGUUCGGCAGCAAUAUGGCGGGGCGUGCUGUGAAGUAAAACUGGCAUGGCUGCGGCAGGGUCGUCGCUGAUUAAGAUAGCAUUAAAUAUGCUGUUUGUUAUUCAAUAAACGUGUGAAUCGA